AGCUCCAAUAGUGUAUCUUAAUGUUGUUGCAGUUAAAAAGCUCGUAGUUGAAUUUCUGGCACUCCAGCUGCCUUCGGGCGUGCAUGGGGUUGUCAUCCGCGUUGGAGCCGUAUGCGUGGAAACACCAUGCGGGGAAGGCGCAUUUUACUUUGAAGAAAUUAGAGUGUUCCAGGCAGGCUAUGCUUGAAUAUUACAGCAUGGAAUAAUGGAAUAGGACUUGUCCUUUUCGUUGGUUAAUUGGACUAGUAAUGAUUAACAGGGACAGUUGGGGGUAUUCGUAUUGGGCAGUCAGAGGUGAAAUUCUUUAAUUUGCUCAAGACGCACUAAUGCGAAAGCAUUUACCAAGGAUGUUUUCA
RNAcentral lists this ribosomal RNA (356 nucleotides) under uncultured microorganism. RNAcentral's name for it is "SSU rRNA". It matches the Rfam family "Eukaryotic small subunit ribosomal RNA", at positions 587 to 972 of the family's 1831-position model. The record is from RNAcentral.